GGGGGCUUUUCUUUUUGUGAGCAACAAGACUCAGUCCAUUUAGUCUGAGUCUCUACAGGCAGAAGGGGGUUUCUCACAUACAUAUACCCCUCUAUCUUAACUGGGAUGUUUGCUGGGGCUUUAUACCCCUAUUUCCUCGCCCACUGUGCUACUCAGCUUUUGCCUCUCUCCAUUUUCCCCUGAACUUAUCCAUUUUUUUUUUCAUUUUCUGUGUAUCCAGAGACCAUAG
Molecule: non-coding RNA, 229 nt
Organism: Pelobates cultripes (western spadefoot toad)
Lineage: Eukaryota; Metazoa; Chordata; Amphibia; Anura; Pelobatidae
Source: the annotation of a GenBank genome assembly